GGGCCCGCACAAGCGGUGGAGUAUGUGGUUUAAUUCGAUGAUACGCGAGGAACCUUACCUAGGCUUAAAUGUAGGUUGACUUAUUGGGAAACCAGUAUUUCUUCGGACAAUCUACAAGGUGCUGCAUGGUUGUCGUCAGCUCGUGCCGUGAGGUGUCGGGUUAAGUCCCAUAACGAGCGCAACCCCUAUCAUUAGUUGCUAACAUUUAGUUGAGGACUCUAAUGAAACUGCCCGCGUAAGCGGUGAGGAAGGUGGGGAUGACGUCAAAUCAUCACGGCCCUUACGUCUAGGGCUACACACGUGCUACAAUGGUAACUACAGAGGGAAGCUAGCUGGUGACAGUAAGCAAAUCCUUAAAAGUUAUCCCAGUUCGGAUUGAAGUCUGCAACUCGACUUCAUGAAGUUGGAAUCGCUAGUAAUCGGAUAUC
RNAcentral lists this ribosomal RNA (428 nucleotides) under uncultured bacterium. RNAcentral describes it as "bacterial SSU rRNA". It matches the Rfam family "Bacterial small subunit ribosomal RNA", at positions 917 to 1350 of the family's 1533-position model. The record is from RNAcentral.